Molecule: ribosomal RNA, 468 nt
Filed under: uncultured bacterium
Lineage: Bacteria
Description: partial 16S ribosomal RNA
Rfam family: Bacterial small subunit ribosomal RNA
Source: RNAcentral
GACGAACGCUGGCGGCGUGCUUAACACAUGCAAGUCGAACGGAAAGGCCCUGCUUUUGUUGGUUGCUCGAGUGGCGAACGGGUGAGUAACACGUGAGUAACCUGCCCUUGACUUUGUGAUAACUUCAGGAAACUGGGGCGAAUACCGGAGAGGAGCUCCUGCUGCAUGGUGGGGGUUGGAAAGUUUCGGCGGUUGGGGAUGGACUCGCGGCUUAUCAGCUUGUUGGUGGGGUAGUGGCUUACCAAGGCUUUGACGGGUAGCCGGCCUGAGAGGGUGACCGGCCACAUUGGGACUGAGAUACGGCCCAGACUCGUACGGGAGGCAGCAGUGGGGAAUAUUGCACAAUGGGCGGAAGCCUGAUGCAGAAACGCAGCGUGCGGGAUGACGGCCUUCGGGUUGUAAACCGCUUUCGCAUGUGACGAAGCGUGAGUGACGGUAAUGGGUAAAGAAGCAACGGCUAACUACGUG